CUGAGCGCAGCGCAAGCUAGCGAGACAGAAGCUAAGCUCAUUGCAACAUGGCAAAUUGAACCUCCCUCACCCUCAUUCAGAUCUGGCGUUUGGAAUUAUUUUGGUCUUCAUGUGAAGUAUGACUCUGAAGAAAAGUAAGAGUCCAGUUACCUUCAGAGGAGUGGCAGCACACACACAUUGAGACCAGGAGGAGAGUGAUGGAGAGGAUCUUCACAGACAUUUCCACCGGUGGUCUGGCUCACUGAUAAGAGUCAAAAUCUAUGAGUUGAUUCGUGUUUGGUUAUUUAUUGUUGUGCAUCAGGCCUCAAGUGAAAAACAAUAGUGACUCAUGAUGCUUCUUAAUGAUCCUGAUGCACAUCCAUUCACAUUUGCAUCAUUUGUUGAUGCUUGGCUGCUUAUUUUUCAUCCAUAAAUCCCCACAACUUAAACUUUUGUUUGUAAUUUAAGCCAUUAAACUCCCACUGAAAACUAAAGCAGUGAGACGCUCUCAUUGUUUCUUUCAUUUAGGAGUAUUUUU
This is a long non-coding RNA of Oreochromis aureus, 517 nucleotides long. The record is from Ensembl. Lineage: Eukaryota; Metazoa; Chordata; Actinopteri; Cichliformes; Cichlidae.